AUAGGGAUUCCACAUGGUUGUCUGCCCCAUGUGUGAUGAUCCUUGAUCCAGCCCUAUACACAGAAAAUUCACUCUCCCCACAGUCAUCCAACAAGGUAACCCUCUGUUCCAGGGUAAACUCCAUCAUGCACCUGUAGUGCCUCACUUUGUAGCCCAGGGAUGGAGUCUUCAUUUUAGCUCCCUUUUCUAAUAUGCUUUUCUUCCACUUGAUUUCUGCAAGUUUUUUCUUAUUCUGUACAUUGGACCUCCACAUUAGCCCCUCAGUGUGGUCUAAAUAUUUCUCAUUCAUUCUCACCCAUAGGUCUGGUUGUAACCACUUCUUUCUUAUAUAGUCUUGACAUUCCACCUUUACCAAUGGGGAUUCCACACGGUUCUCUGCCCCAUGUGGAAUCUUAUUGGUCCAAGUCCCAUAGUAAAGAAAAUGCACAAUUCCCAUAGUGAUCCAAAAAGUUUACCCUGACUGCCAUGAUACAUCUGUAGUGCCUCACCUCGCAGCCCAGGAAUGGGGUCUUGACUUUACCUCUCUUUUCUAAUAUCCUGUUUUCACUUUUGAUUUCUGCACAGUCUUUCUUACUCUGUUCAUUGUUUUCUAACAAUAUCCCCUCAGCAUGUUCUCAAUGUUUCUUAUUCAUUCUCACCCAUAGGCUCUCAGUUUGGAACCACUUCUUUGUUAUAAGGAGUUGACAUCCCACCUUUACUAAUUGGGAUUCCACAUGGUUGUCUGCCCCAUGUGGAAUCCUAUUGGUUCAAGUCCCAUAGCAAAGAAAAUGCCCAUUUCCCACAGUGAUCCAAAAAGGUUACCUUGACUGCCAGGGUAAAUACUAUGAUACACCAGACUGCCUCACCUCAUAGCCCAGGUAUGGGGACUUGACUUUUGCCCCCUUUUCUAAUAUCCUCUUCUCCAUUUUAAUUUCUGUGCAGGCUUUCUUAAACUGUUCAUUGGCCUCCUACUCUGUCCCUCAGUGUACUGAUAAAGGUUUCUCAUUUAUUUUUCUCCUGUAGGGUCCCCAGUUUGUAGCCACUUCUUUGUAAUAUGGGGCUUACAUGCCACCAUAAUCAAGGGGAAUUCCAUAUGGUUUCCUUGGCCAUGUGGAAUAUUGUCGGUGACAGUCCCAUGGCAAAGAAAAUUCACUAUUUCCACAGCCAUCCAACAAGGUAACCCUGUGUUCCAGGGUAAACUCCAUCAUGCACCGUAGUGCCUCACCUCACAGCCCAGGGGUACAGCUAUGGAGCUUGAAGAGACACAGUGAGAGAGAAACAAAAUCCACUGCAUAGACCCUCAUUUGUUAGCCCUUCCAAUCACAGAUAAAGGCCUUGUUUCUAUUUCCUACCCAUUCUCUGGCAGGAAGGGCUUCUAGUCUACUGGCUUUCAGGUUUAAUGUAUAUGGAAUACCACCCCCACCUCUUUUGCUCCUUUCCUAGGCCUUCUAGAUCUUAAAAUCACUUAAUGCAGAGCCAGUUCAAAUGGGAGCCUCUCUGCCUUGGGAGUUAUCCCUUUUCAUUCAUAGAUACUCACCCCUAAGCACUGAGGUUUGCAAACUCACUUAUUCUCUGGAGACCAAACAGGGUCAUGAUUUCUACUUAGAGGAAAAGACUUUUCUCAGCAUUUCUAUUCCAAGCCUUCUGCCAGUGUAUGAUUAAGGAUUCAUCUGCUAUUCUCCAUAGGAAGGUUGUCCCUGUUUGUUUGCCAUUGCUAGUAAGAACUGGCCUUACAGUGGGACCAAGUUAGAAUGAGCAUCAUACCCCAGCUUCAUGUCAGUCCUCCUGGCAUUUGCUCCACAGUAAAAAACCAGACGUUGGGUCACCAGUCAGUUCCAUGCUGCCCUGGUCUGCCAGGGGAAGCAGCAGUUCACCCAGAGGGCCCCACUCUGACCCCAGAGAUGGGGCCCAACAAGCUAUCUUGCUCUCUGAGACCAAGGAGGGUCUUGAUAUUCAGUCAGAGGGCAGGUCUUUCCUUUCUAUUGGUCAGUGGCCAGGAUUUCAGUUUUAUAUGGCUGUAGGUUGACAGCCACUUCCCAGAGGCAGGGCCCCUGGUUUCUUUCUAAUACUUGGCCAAUCAGAGCAUUCUUUCCACCAAGGGCAAAGCUGAAGGAGCAUUGUAUUGCAGGCCAAUGGAUAUUGUUCCUUUUUGGGACCCUGUAGCCAAGUAGACUCACUGCAACCACAAACCACCUUUCAUUGCUGGGGAAGGUGCCACAUUGUACCUGUAAACCUCUCUGCCCACCUGGAGCAGCAGGGAUACUUGCUAAUCAGCUAUCUCACUAUCCUCUUGCAUACUCCAAUACCUCAUGCAAUAGUCUUGUUGCUCUUUUGCUCCAAUCACAUAAUACUCAGAGCAGAGAUAAAGUCUUGUCAGCCAUUCUUCACCUAUAGGGCCCUCAGAUUUGUACCCACUUCUCUGUUACAUGGGGCUUCCAUGCCAUUAUCAUCAAGGACUCUACAGGGUUCUCUGCCCCAUGUGUGAUAUUUCUUGACCUAGCCCCAUAGCAAAGGAAAUUCACUCUUCCAAUAGUCAUUGAAAAGGGAACCCUGUCUGACAGGAUAAAUACCACCAUGUACCCGUAAUGUCUCACCUUGCAGCCCAGUGUUGGAGACAUGUUUUCUAUUUCAGCAGUGUAUGGCUAUAGAUUGGUCAGCCAUUUCCCAGUGGCAGGAUUCCUGAUUUCUUUCCAAUAGUUGGUUACUCAGGGCAUCCUUUUUACUCAGGGCAAGGGUGAAGGAGCACUGGGUUGAAGGCUAAUGGAAGUUGCUCUUUCCUGAUACCCUUUAAGAAGGAAACUCACUGUUACCUAAGUUCUUUCAUUGCAACUUCAUUUUUCAAGCAAAUUUUUGUGUUGCCUAUCUUUUUAAGGUUAUGAAUUAAUUUUUCAUUAUGAUAUUUUCCACUAAAUGUUACUUCCUUUAAUUACUCUUUUUUCUUCAUUAAUUUUGAUUGUUGUUUGAAGUUUCUGGCAUUUAUCUAUUAUCUCAUUCUUAUAAUUUGGCCUUUUUCUUUUAGUCCCAUUGAACCAUGCCUUUUCAUACUUAAAUAUAAUAAGCUGUUAACUUUCUAAUUUUAUGUCACUGCCUUACUCAUUGGUUAAAAUGAUCAGGUUGAUGAUAAAUGCUUAACAAAUAUUUUUUAAAAUUUGCAUUGUUUUGGCAUAGAACCAGUCCCUAGGACUCGGGAGAAUCUGUGUCCCAAUGUGGCUGAUCUUACCAGAUCUGUGACUGUGGGCAAGUGAUUAAAACCGCUUUGUUUCCAAAAAAAAGAAAAAGAAAAAAGAAAAGAAAAGCAAUUUUGAAUAGUUCAAAUAUUUAUCUAUUUUCUUUUUCAUUUUCCUUUUUGAGUAAUAAAAAAUAUCUGAUUUGUAGUAAUAGUAGUUAAAAUUGUACAAUCUGUUUCAAAUGUUACAGUAAUUCCAAUAGCCUCACAAGUUCCUCAUUCUCUUAUGACAAUAUUGGAGGCAUAUUUCAUUCUUUCACCUCUAGAAUUGUUUUUGUUGUUUUCAAUUAUCUUAAUUCAGGUUUAUCUUUUGUUUUUUUCCUCCCAUCUUUUCAUUUCCCCAAACUUCUGCUAAAUUCACCUGUAUUUAUCUCAUAUAAAUCUUUAAAUGGUGUUCAUCUUUAUAGUCAUUUUUUCCCCGGAUAUAAUACAUCUUUUAUUUCAACACAAUGCAACCUUUGUUUUAGUUCAAUUUUAUUAGCAUAGUAUUAACACUGAUUUGUUUUGCCAUAUUUUUAGAUUCACGAGCAUGGGUGGGUUGUUUCCAUUUCUUUGCUACAAAGUAUAUUUACCUCACCUAAUUCAAUUUAACAGGAAUUAUUUUUGAUACUCCCCCAUUUUACAGAUGACAAAAUUCAAGUGUUGAGAAUUCCAAAAUUUUGUUGGACUGGCAUAAACGAAUGCUUUGGGACUAUUCAUUUCAUUGGGAGCCUAGAAAAAUGGAAUUGGGAGACUUUGGCAUGUCAAUGUUCAACUGAAGUUUCCCGAGAUCUAAGUUCUAUGAGCUCAGCUAUGUUAAAUAGUCCUACUUCAGGAGAAGACAGCAUCUAAACCAUCCCAGUCCUUUUUCAUCUUAUUGGGCAAGAGGCCUUAUAACCUCUCGGAAAAACUUUUUUCACAAUGUUUUACAAACUUAAUUGUUGAUAACAUUGUUUUUUGUUCUAAAUAUCCUCAAACCAGUUCCCUUCAUAUUCUUCUUCAAAAUGGAGAUGUAGAUUUGUGAAAUACAUCUUCCUAAAUUUCAAUUUCAAGAACAAAUUAUUCCUCAGCAUUUUCUUCUCCAGACUAAACAAGGCCCAUCAUCUUUUAAAACAAACAAACAAACAAACCCGGUGCUGUUCUCAUGUUCUCAUGCUUCUUCAAAAUAAAGGCCCACACAAAAAAAGUAAUUUUUCACCUCUGAAUAAGGCCUAAUCAAUAUGGAAUAUAGUUGAGAAAGCCUUCCUUUCUAGCUUUUGCAUGUGGCAAUGUAGUAUGCGCUUAAUGGUUUGCACAUAGUAGGUACUUAAUAAUAAACAUUGCACGGAGUAGGUGCUUUCAAAUAUUGCACAUAGUAGGCAUUUAAUAAAUUGCACAGAGUAGGUGCUUAAUCAGUGUUUGUUAAAUUGAGAGAAAACAUCUUUCCCUCGUAGUACCUCACAUGGCACUUUGUUUUCACUUCUUUCACAAUUCUUGCUGUCUUUUUAAAAAAUCAUAGUUAUUUGCAUUUGUAUCAUAUCUUUAUUGUAAACUUCUUGAGGGCAAAGAACUAUCUGUCUAAUCUACCAAGCAAAUUGUUCUGCUAUAUAAAUGCUACUAUAUUGCUUAAUCAAUGUUUAAUUUUUGAUUUGAGUAGAAUUGUUUCCUUGUUGAUGCAUCUCUAACAUCAUGUUAGGAUGCCUGUACUGCACGAUUAGCACCUUAUUAUAUAUUAUCCUGUUGUAUCUUAUAGCAUUAUUUUGAGAGAAGGAAAAGCUUCAUAUACUAUAAAACAUUGUAUUCAUGCUAUUAUUGUUACUAUGACAUUGUUAUUUUCUAGUUGCUUUUAUUAUAUAAUUUAGCACUUUAUUGUAUUAGUAUAUAGUGCUUUCUUAUUAUCUACUAAUGUUAUUUUGUGUGUAUAUCCCAUUUUCCCAACUAGAUUGUAAACAUAAGGUAGGCAAUGGCUAUGCAUAACUUGUAAAUCGUAUGUACUCAAUAAAUGCUUAAUGAAUGAUGA
This is a long non-coding RNA of Sarcophilus harrisii (Tasmanian devil), 5183 nucleotides long. The record is from Ensembl. NCBI's taxonomy places the organism in Eukaryota, Metazoa, Chordata, Mammalia, Dasyuromorphia, Dasyuridae.